RNAcentral lists this ribosomal RNA (468 nucleotides) under uncultured bacterium. RNAcentral describes it as "partial 16S ribosomal RNA". It matches the Rfam family "Bacterial small subunit ribosomal RNA", at positions 28 to 507 of the family's 1533-position model. The record is from RNAcentral.
GACGAACGCUGGCGGCGUGCUUAACACAUGCAAGUCGAACGGAAAGGCCCUGCUUUUGUGGGGUGCUCGAGUGGCGAACGGGUGAGUAACACGUGAGUAACCUGCCCUUGACUUUGGUAUAACUUCAGGAAACUGGGGCUAAUACCGGAUAGGAGCUCCUGCUGCAUGGUGGGGGUUGGAAAGUUUCGGCGGUUGGGGAUGGACUCGCGGCUUAUCAGCUUGUUGGUGGGGUAGUUGCUUACCAAGGCUUUGACGGGUAGCCGGCCUGAGAGGGUGAACGGCAACAUUGGGACUGAGAUACGGCCCAGACUGCUACGGGAGGCAGCAGUGGGGAAUAGUGCACAAUGGGCGGAAGCCUGAUGCAGCAACGCCGCGUGCGGGAUGACGGCCUUCGGGUUGUAAACCGCUUUCGCCUGUGACGAAGCGUGAGUGACGGUAAUGGGUAAAGAAGCACCGGCUAACUACGUG